RNAcentral lists this unclassified non-coding RNA (2881 nucleotides) under Hevea brasiliensis (rubber tree). Lineage: Eukaryota; Viridiplantae; Streptophyta; Magnoliopsida; Malpighiales; Euphorbiaceae. The record is from RNAcentral.
AUUUUUUUUUUUUUUUAUUUUAAAGAUUUGGGGGGUCCAAGUUAAUGCUAUAUACAUUACAGAGGCCUCAAAAGUGGAUAAUCUUCGAGUAGUUCCCUCUCUGUUAGUGUAUCAUGUUCAUUUUGAGGGGUCCACAACACCUCAACUGCAAGUAUUUUGCUGGUGGGAAUGGAACCCAGUUUUUGCAAUGCUUCCUUUAAGUCUCCACUGCCAUUGAUGGUUGGCAGUUUAUGUACUCCUUCAGCAGCCACCAAGAUAGUUAUCUGAAAGAAUUAUGAAAAAAAUCCAACAUAGGAGACUCAAAGUUGGAAUACACGGAAGGCAGAGGACUUGUCAUACUUCCAGUUCUAAUGUAAUUCAAACUCUACCACCGGCCGAUUAUUUGAUAUAACAUCACAUUAAUAAAUGCAAAUAAAUGCUAUAACUUAAUAAAUCUCCACAUCUGAUGUAACAGAUAUCCAAGAACCACAUAAAAUUCUCUUCAGGGAGUAUGGCAAUUUACUGCACCAAUUUCAUGAGAAUGAAAGACUUGACAAUGAGAGGAUAAAUCCCAAUUGCAGUGUUGAAACUUGAUACACUUGUUGGUGAGCAAUGCUAAUAGAUUUAAUAAAGAAGGCCAGAGAGUUAUCCUUCAAUUGUUUACACAUCAUCCUUAGUUGACUAAAAUAGCAGCAGCAUAGUGCACCCGUAAUCCAUCCUAAACUACAGGAAGAAUAUCCAAACUUUCCUUGGUUUCAUUUUAUUCUCUCUUUUUAAUAUAUUUACUCAUAUUAGGAAAGAAAAUGAUCAUUUAUUUCGUUUAACAUGGAGUUAGAUGGCAAACUCUAGUACCAAAUGAUGUGGCUUCCCCACAAAGGAUAACUAGCAUCUUAGGCUAAACGAAUUUUUCUAAGGGAUCCAGCUGCAUCUUAGAUUUAAAAUCAAAGAAACAAAUCUAAUUUUUCAUAUAACUACUCAAAUACAGCUAUAUCUCCGUUGCAUGCCAUUCAAAUUAGAUAUUGGCUUUAAAUGCUCAAAUAAAUCCAAAUCCAAGCCCUAUAGCUGAAGAAUGAAACACAUAAACUACAACAUCAUGCUACAAAACGUCUUUCAUUCCAUUAUUUGACAUUAAAUCUAAAACAAAGGCAACUUCAGAGAUGAAACCUUACCACUAUAUAUUCAUUGUUAAAUCCAUUAGCUCUUUGGCUAUUUGUGCUUCGUUUUUUUAUGCUGUUCACAUUAACAAGUGUUUCUUCAUCAAAUUUCCCCCUUUCUUCAAUAGAAAGUUGAUUGAAACGUUUUUCACCAUCCUCGAUGCUUCGCUUCACAUCGGCCUGAAAUAUGCAAACAUAAAUAGAGUAUAUAGAGAGUCCACUUAAAUCCUAAUGUGAGUAAAAAUAUUCCAGGAGAUAGCUGUCAACUUACAUAUGAAUAACCAGAGAUGCAAUAAUCAGGAUGCCGAAGCAAAGCUAGUGAUGCCUCUGCAACCAAAACAAAUGCGCUGUUAACCAAUAUUGAGUUAUUGAUAAAAUAACACAAGAUUUUCUUCAUUACAACAAUAUGGUUUCAUUGGCAUAACUACUAUCAUGGUCUGUAUGAAUUACACUUUGGCCAAUUUGUUUACUGAAUCAUGGUUUAUGGAGAAUUGCUAUAAGAAACUAUAAUGACAUUAUGCUGUAUCUGGAAAAAAAAUGUUAGGCAGCUUUUUAACACAAUGUUCAUGAAGUGCCUUCAUAUAAUGGGGUUACUGAUGGAUGAGAAGAAUAAAUCAAUCAGCAAAAUACAAAUUCUCAACUCAUGGUCUUCAGAUUACAUUGUUACAUCAUGAUGCCUCGAGGAAAGGCUUAAGAAGCCUUAAGGAUUGGCCAUUAUGCUGGCAAUAACUCCAAUCCCAUGCUUAUACCGAACAUAAGGGAAAAAGUUAAGAACACAAAUUAACCUCUCUCACUCUAAAUAUUUUAUCUUAAAACAAUACAGACAACCAACUUUGCAGCAAAAUUUAACCUGAUCCAAAAUAAAUAAAAAUCAAAUAAGGGCUCUAAAAGUCCAAUAGAAGAGGGAUAUCCAAAAGGCAUUUGAGGAAUAAGUAUGAUGGUAGUUGUUCAUACCAUUUGAAGAAAGACUGGAUCCCAAACAAUCAGUCUUUCCUUUAGUCAUUGCAUCUUACUUUGAUUGAUCAGUGUGUGAAGUAGAAGCAAAAUUCUAAGGAAGUCUAAUUCCAUUUGCUAUUAAGAUGCCUUCUGUUUCUCCCAAAUGCUUCUCAUCGAAUGCAGAUGUUCCAUUUUUCAAGCCAGCACCACCAUUUUUUAUCAUUGAAUUGAAUGAAUUUCUCAUGUAAAAUUACAACAAAUCCAGACAACUUAAAAUCACCCAGGUAAAUAAGAAAUGAGAUGAUACUUUUCUCUCACCUGUCAACAGUGAUUAUCUAUCAUCCUCAAAAGACUUCUUAGUAACAACCUAGCCUCUCCGAACCAAGUUGUCAACAAAAAUUCACCAUGUCCAAAUUAAGGACUGUGAAUGACUUUUAGCUUCAUUUCUAUUCUACUGCCUCAAGGAACUUACAAUAGCCAGGUUGUUAGAGAAGAAUGCUAUACAAAAAUGAAUAUGAUCCUUAGAGGCUUUGAACGCAUUAUUAAUGUGUUUUAGUGCUCUAGUUGCUUUUAAAUAAGCCGUCUUCUUUUCUAACAUUUUUUCCAAUAAUAUAUUCGCUUUACGAGUUUUAAGACCUACUUUCUCAUAGGAACUCACUAACAAACUCAUAAUAAUAGUAAGCUUGGAGUUGGACAUAGAAGAGAAAAGAAAACAUAGUUUCAAAAAUGAAAAAGAAAAGAAAAGAACAGAGGAGAGGAAAAUAAUUGCAAAUUAAAUUUGAUAAGAAAGAACCCCAAAAAAAAAACUAUAC